UUUUCAAUCUACAAAUCCACAAAAUCUAUUCACAUAUAUAUAAUUUAUACACAUUUUUGAUUGUUCUCCUUCACUGAUCUAGGGUUUCAGCAGUAUACUUGAAGCUUGUUUUGACGAUCUGAUUCUAGGUUUUGUAUCGUCCUCUCUUGGCUCACCGAUCAGGAGCCAAGAACAGAGGAACUGAGAGGUUUUGGUGAAAUGGAAUCAAGUGACGGAUUUUUGACUGAACAACAGAGGGAGAUGCUGGAUAUAGCACCGGUGAAUGUGGAGGCAUCAGGCAGUGGGGCUGGGAUUGCUGUGCGACAUGUACGGCGUACGCACUCAGGGAAACAUAUACGGGUUAAGAAGGAUGGUGCUGGUGGUAAAGGCACUUGGGGAAAAUUGCUCGAUACUGAUGUUGAAUCUCAUCUUGAUAGAAAUGAUCCCAACUAUGAUAGUGGUGAGGAGCCGUAUGAGCUUGUAGGAACUGCUGUCUCUGAUCCAUUAGAUGAUUACAAGAAAUCUGUAGUAUCAAUUAUAGAGGAGUACUUCAGCACUGCUGACGUAGAACUGGCUGCGUCUGAUCUCAAGAAAUUAGGUUUGACCGACUAUCAUCCAUAUAUUAUUAAGAGGCUUGUUUCUAUGGCCAUGGAUAGGCAUGACAAGGAGAAGGAAAUGACUUCAGUUCUUCUUUCUUCUCUUUAUGCCGAUGUCAUCAACCCUACCCAGAUCAGGCAGGGAUUUUACAUGCUUGUGGAGUCUGCUGAUGACUUGGCAGUGGACAUACCAGAUACUGUUGAUAUCCGUGCUUUAUUCAUCGCACGUGCUGUGGUUGAUGACAUUCUUCCACCAGCUUUUAUCGCUAGAGUUGGAAAAAUGGUACAAGAAUCCUCUAAGGGGUUUCAGGUGUUGCAAACUGCGGAGAAGCGCUAUCUCUCGGCUCCACACCAUGCAGAACUGGUCGAGAGGCGCUGGGGGGCAAGCACCCAAUUCACUGUUGAGGAGGUCAAGAAAAGGAUUGCUGAUCUAUUGAGGGAAUAUGUUGAGAGUGGAGAUAUUGUUGAGGCAUGCAGAUGCAUAAGGCAGUUGGAACUUCCUUUUUUCUAUCAUGAGGUUGUCAAGAGAGCUUUAGUUUUAGCCAUGGAAAUACAGUCUGCUGAACCACUUAUUCUGAAACUUUUAAAAAGGAGGCUGCAGAGGAGGGUCUUAUAAGUUCCAGUCAAAUGGUGAAGGGCUUUUCUAGGAUGGCUGAGAGUAUUGAUGAUCUUUCUCUGGAUAUUCCUUCUGCAAAAAUGUCAUUCCAGUCAAUUGUUCCUCGGGCAAUCUCUGAGGGAUGGCUUGAUGCAUCUUCUCUGAAAGCCACAGGGGAAAAUGGACAAGCAAAUGGUCCAGAUGAUGAAAAAUUGAAGCAAUACAAGAAACAAAUUGUAAGCAUAAUCCACGAAUAUUUUCUCUCGGAUGACAUUCCAGAACUAAUCCAAAGUUUGGAAGAUUUGGGGCAACCUGAGUUUAACCCCGUUUUUCUGAAGAAGCUAAUCACCCUUGCCAUGGACAGGAAAAACAAGGAAAAGGAGAUGGCAUCGGUUUUGCUUUCUGCACUUCAUAUUGAGAUUUUUUCAACUGAAGACAUAGUGAAUGGAUUUGUGAUGCUACUAGAAUCUUCAGAAGAUACAGCACUUGACAUGUUAGAUGCUUCCAAUGAACUUGCUCUUUUCCUUGCUAGGUCUGUAAUAGACGAUGUCCUGGCUCCUCUGAAUUUGGAGGAGAUAUUGAACAAGCUGCCUCCAAAUUGUAGCAGUGGAGCGGAGACCAUCUGUAUGGCUCAAUCACUUCGAUCUGCACGGCAUGCUGGUGAAAGGAUCCUGAGGUGUUGGGGUGGUGGGACUGGCUGGGCUGUGGAGGAUGCAAAGGAUAAGAUACAAAAGCUCCUGGAGGAAUUUGAAAGUAGUGGUGUUCUCAGUGAAGCUUGCCAGUGCAUACGAGAGCUCGGAAUGCCAUUCUUCAAUCAUGAGGUGGUGAAGAAAGCUUUGGUUAUGGCAAUGGAGAAGAAGAAUGACAGGAUGCUGGAUUUGCUACAAGCAUGCUUCAGCGAGGGGCUUAUCACCAUAAACCAGAUGACUAAAGGCUUUGGGAGGAUCAAUGAUGGACUAGAAGAUCUGGCUCUUGACAUUCCGAAUGCAAAGGAUAAAUUCACGUUUUAUUUGGAGCAUGCCAAAGAAAGAGGCUGGAUGUUACCAUCCUUUGGGUUACCUGCUGCAUCUUAAUGAGAAGAAUCAGAUGCAUUAGCUUGUUGCAUCUCUGUAUGUUGUUCGUUGUUGCCUUCUCCUGGUCCAUUUUAUUUGGGAGUGGUAGAUGGACACGGACUACCCAGUCAUUCCUAGAUCUUCUUUCUUUUUGAGUUUCUUGUAUGAUGGAUAUUUCUUGAUGUAAAAAUUAGAAGUCUUGCGUUAGUGGUAUAUGCAUAACGCAUUACCAUUGCUACCUUCCAUAUGGAUGUUAGUACAGAUAAUUAUCAAUCAUUUUGGUCAAUACAACAUUGUCAUUUGCUUUGUGUCA
Molecule: RNA transcript, 2535 nt
Organism: Solanum pennellii
Lineage: Eukaryota; Viridiplantae; Streptophyta; Magnoliopsida; Solanales; Solanaceae
Exons: 5
Source: RefSeq, a predicted model, not a curated record